This 2910-nucleotide ribosomal RNA is filed under the name Yersinia enterocolitica. RNAcentral describes it as "23S ribosomal RNA". It matches the Rfam family "Bacterial large subunit ribosomal RNA". Lineage: Bacteria; Pseudomonadati; Pseudomonadota; Gammaproteobacteria; Enterobacterales; Yersiniaceae. The record is from RNAcentral.
GAGGUUAAGCGACUAAGCGUACACGGUGGAUGCCUAGGCAGUCAGAGGCGAUGAAGGGCGUGCUAAUCUGCGAAAAGCGUCGGUAAGGUGAUAUGAACCGUUAUAACCGACGAUACCCGAAUGGGGAAACCCAGUGCAAUUCGUUGCACUAUUGCAUGGUGAAUACAUAGCCAUGCAAGGCGAACCGGGGAACUGAAACAUCUAAGUACCCCGAGGAAAAGAAAUCAACCGAGAUUCCCCCAGUAGCGGCGAGCGAACGGGGAGGAGCCCAGAACCUGAAUCAGCGUAUGUGUUAGUGGAAGCGUCUGGAAAGUCGCACGGUACAGGGUGAUAGUCCCGUACACAAAAAUGCAUAUGUUGUGAGUUCGAUGAGUAGGGCGGGACACGUGACAUCCUGUCUGAAUAUGGGGGGACCAUCCUCCAAGGCUAAAUACUCCUGACUGACCGAUAGUGAACCAGUACCGUGAGGGAAAGGCGAAAAGAACCCCGGCGAGGGGAGUGAAAUAGAACCUGAAACCGUGUACGUACAAGCAGUGGGAGCACCUUCGUGGUGUGACUGCGUACCUUUUGUAUAAUGGGUCAGCGACUUAUAUUUUGUAGCAAGGUUAACCGAAUAGGGGAGCCGUAGGGAAACCGAGUCUUAACUGGGCGAAUAGUUGCAAGGUAUAGACCCGAAACCCGGUGAUCUAGCCAUGGGCAGGUUGAAGGUUGGGUAACACUAACUGGAGGACCGAACCGACUAAUGUUGAAAAAUUAGCGGAUGACUUGUGGCUGGGGGUGAAAGGCCAAUCAAACCGGGAGAUAGCUGGUUCUCCCCGAAAGCUAUUUAGGUAGCGCCUCGUGAACUCAUCUUCGGGGGUAGAGCACUGUUUCGGCUAGGGGGUCAUCCCGACUUACCAAACCGAUGCAAACUCCGAAUACCGAAGAAUGUUAUCACGGGAGACACACGGCGGGUGCUAACGUCCGUCGUGAAGAGGGAAACAACCCAGACCGCCAGCUAAGGUCCCAAAGUCAUGGUUAAGUGGGAAACGAUGUGGGAAGGCAUAGACAGCCAGGAUGUUGGCUUAGAAGCAGCCAUCAUUUAAAGAAAGCGUAAUAGCUCACUGGUCGAGUCGGCCUGCGCGGAAGAUGUAACGGGGCUAAACCAUGCACCGAAGCUGCGGCAGCGACACUUAGGUGUUGUUGGGUAGGGGAGCGUUCUGUAAGCCGUUGAAGGUGACCUGUGAGGGUUGCUGGAGGUAUCAGAAGUGCGAAUGCUGACAUAAGUAACGAUAAUGCGGGUGAAAAACCCGCACGCCGGAAGACCAAGGGUUCCUGUCCAACGUUAAUCGGGGCAGGGUGAGUCGACCCCUAAGGCGAGGCUGAAAAGCGUAGUCGAUGGGAAACAGGUUAAUAUUCCUGUACUUGGUGUUACUGCGAAGGGGGGACGGAGAAGGCUAGGCUAGCCGGGCGACGGUUGUCCCGGUUUAAGCAUGUAGGCGGAGCGACUUGGUAAAUCCGGUUGCUUAUCAACGCUGAGGUGUGAUGACGAGCCACUACGGUGGUGAAGUAGUUGAUGCCAAGCUUCCAGGAAAAGCCUCUAAGCAUCAGGUAACAUUAAAUCGUACCCCAAACCGACACAGGUGGUCAGGUAGAGAAUACUCAGGCGCUUGAGAGAACUCGGGUGAAGGAACUAGGCAAAAUGGUGCCGUAACUUCGGGAGAAGGCACGCUGGCAUUAGGUAAAGGGACUUGCUCCCGGCGCCGAAGCCAGUCGCAGAUACCAGCUGGCUGCAACUGUUUAAUAAAAACACAGCACUGUGCAAACACGAAAGUGGACGUAUACGGUGUGACGCCUGCCCGGUGCUGGAAGGUUAAUUGAUGGGGUCAGCCGCAAGGCGAAGCUCUUGAUCGAAGCCCCAGUAAACGGCGGCCGUAACUAUAACGGUCCUAAGGUAGCGAAAUUCCUUGUCGGGUAAGUUCCGACCUGCACGAAUGGCGUAAUGAUGGCCAGGCUGUCUCCACCCGAGACUCAGUGAAAUUGAACUCGCUGUGAAGAUGCAGUGUACCCGCGGCAAGACGGAAAGACCCCGUGAACCUUUACUAUAGCUUGACACUGAACAUUGAGCCUUGAUGUGUAGGAUAGGUGGGAGGCAUUGAAGUGUGGACGCCAGUCUGCAUGGAGCCAACCUUGAAAUACCACCCUUUAAUGUUUGAUGUUCUAACUCGGCCCCGUGAUCCGGGGUGAGGACAGUGUCUGGUGGGUAGUUUGACUGGGGCGGUCUCCUCCCAAAGAGUAACGGAGGAGCACGAAGGUUAGCUAAUCACGGUCGGACAUCGUGAGGUUAGUGCAAAGGCAUAAGCUAGCUUGACUGCGAGAGUGACGGCUCGAGCAGGUACGAAAGUAGGUCUUAGUGAUCCGGUGGUUCUGAAUGGAAGGGCCAUCGCUCAACGGAUAAAAGGUACUCCGGGGAUAACAGGCUGAUACCGCCCAAGAGUUCAUAUCGACGGCGGUGUUUGGCACCUCGAUGUCGGCUCAUCACAUCCUGGGGCUGAAGUAGGUCCCAAGGGUAUGGCUGUUCGCCAUUUAAAGUGGUACGCGAGCUGGGUUUAGAACGUCGUGAGACAGUUCGGUCCCUAUCUGCCGUGGGCGUUGGAAGAUUGAGAGGGGCUGCUCCUAGUACGAGAGGACCGGAGUGGACGAAUCACUGGUGUUCGGGUUGUCAUGCCAAUGGCAUUGCCCGGUAGCUAAAUUCGGAAGAGAUAACCGCUGAAAGCAUCUAAGCGGGAAACUUGCCUCGAGAUGAGUCUUCCCUGGGGCUUUAAGCUCCCUGAAGGAACGUUAAAGACUAUGACGUUGAUAGGCUGGGUGUGUAAGUGCAGCGAUGCAUUGAGCUAACCAGUACUAAUGAUCCGUGAGGCUUAACCUUAC